UUUGAUUUCUAAAGUAACUGUGCAGAAGUCAUAAUAAUAAAAGAUUCCUUUGACCAACUAACAUAUAUUCCAAAUCCUAUAACAGAGACCGUGUGAGCCUUAGCUGCUGUAAUAAUGGUGAAGACCCAGCAAGUUUUGUUGGCUACUCUGUGGUUUCAGUUCAUCUGGGCAAGUGGCAAAAAUGGAGUGGAACAGAGUCCCCAGUCCCUGACUGCCCAGGAAGGCAAUUUUGUCACAAUCAACUGCAGUUUCUCAGUAGGAAUGACCGCUUUGCACUGGUUGCAACAGAAUCCUGGAGGAGGUAUUGUCUCCUUGUUUAUACUGAGCCUCGAGAUGAAGAAGAAAGGAAGAAUAAGAGCCACAAUAAACACAGAGGAACUUCACAGCUCUCUGUACAUCACAGCCUCCCAGCCCAGAGACUCUGCCAUCUACCUCUGUGCUGUGGAGACACAGUGCUCCACCGUCAUCUGGAGCCUGUACCCAAACUCUGAAGCUCAAAGGCAUCAUUUCCCCUCAUUCUUGUCUUUCUAA
This is a non-coding RNA of Leopardus geoffroyi (Geoffroy's cat), 531 nucleotides long. Lineage: Eukaryota; Metazoa; Chordata; Mammalia; Carnivora; Felidae. The record is from the annotation of a RefSeq genome assembly.